RNAcentral lists this unclassified non-coding RNA (352 nucleotides) under soil metagenome. Its description in RNAcentral is "partial contains 5.8S ribosomal RNA, internal transcribed spacer 2, and large subunit ribosomal RNA". The stretch from base 1 to 120 matches the Rfam family "5.8S ribosomal RNA", at positions 35 to 154 of the family's 154-position model. The record is from RNAcentral.
GAUGAAGAACGUAGCGAAAUGCGAUAAGUAAUGUGAAUUGCAGAAUUCAGUGAAUCAUCGAAUCUUUGAACGCACAUUGCGCCCGCCAGUAUUCUGGCGGGCAUGCCUGUUCGAGCGUCAUUACAACCCUCAGGCCCCCGGGCCUGGCGUUGGGGAUCGGCGGAGCCCCCCGUGGGCACACGCCGUCCCCCAAAUACAGUGGCGGUCCCGCCGCAGCUUCCAUCGCGUAGUAGCUAACACCUCGCGACUGGAGAGCGGCGCGGCCACGCCGUAAAACACCCAACUCUUCUGAAGUUGACCUCGAAUCAGGUAGGAAUACUCGCUGAACUUAAGCAUAUCAAUAAGCGGAGGA